This 77-nucleotide transfer RNA is filed under the name Pseudonocardia sp. RNAcentral's name for it is "tRNA-Leu". It matches the Rfam family "tRNA". Rfam says of the family: Transfer RNA (tRNA) molecules are approximately 80 nucleotides in length. The record is from RNAcentral. Lineage: Bacteria; Bacillati; Actinomycetota; Actinomycetes; Pseudonocardiales; Pseudonocardiaceae.
GCCCCUGUAGUCCAACUGGCAGAGACCGCGCUCUCAAACAGCGUCCAGUGUGGGUUCGAAUCCCACCGGGGGCACCA